This 5629-nucleotide long non-coding RNA is filed under the name Malus domestica (apple). RNAcentral's name for it is "long non-coding RNA (MDOM_LNC011849)". The record is from RNAcentral. Lineage: Eukaryota; Viridiplantae; Streptophyta; Magnoliopsida; Rosales; Rosaceae.
AAUCAGUCAAUUUCCUCUGAUUACAUUUUUGUUCUAGCUAAAGCUACCACAUCUAUAUAUAUAUAAUGGCUUCAUGUGAUGGAAAGCUUGAAGUAGAAGUUGAGGUGAAGUCUCCUGCACAAAAGUUUUGGGAAGCCCUUAGGGACUCCACCACUGUCUUCCCCAAGGCAUUUCCUCAUGACUACAAAAGCAUCGAUGUCCUCGAAGGUGAUGGCAAAGCUGUUGGAUCCGUUCGGCUUAUUACAUAUGCUGAAGGUAGUUACAUGCAUAUAUUAUCUUACUAUGUACUUAAAUUAUAAAUUCACGUACAUCUGAGACAAAUUUACAGUUUGACAAGAGAUCACUUCCUUAUAAAUAAUGUAUUUCCUUGCCGGUAGGUUCUGCACUUGUGAAAGUAUCAAAGGAGACGAUCGAUGCAGUGGAUGAAGUCGGAAAGGCGGUUGCUUAUAAGGUGAUCGACGGAGAUCUGCUCAAGUACUACAAGAGCUUCAAGUGCACCCUAACCGUGACUCCCAAGGGAGACGGGAGCUUGGUGAAAUGGUCGUCUGUGUAUGAGAAAGCACACGAACAGGUUCCCGAACCAAGCAUCAUCAAGGAUUUUGCUGCCAAGAACUUCCUGGAGCUCGAUGCCUAUGUUCUGGUUAAUUAAUUAUUUGCAAGCUUAAAUAAGCUAGCUUUGGAGAUCAUUGGAGUUUUUCCUUAAUAUACAAUGGCCAAAUAAAUAAGAUGAGUCGAAGUAUGCAUGCUAAUGCACAUAGCUGGUUUUAUCUAAACCCAAAUCUGUAAGCAGAUUGCAUCCUAUUAUAUUUUGGGUUUGGAUCUUGUACUUUUAUAUGCUAGUAAUGUUUCAAUGUUUGUGUCCCCUCACUUUCACUUUUAUCGCACGUACAAUUUGAAAGAAGAAAAAGAAAAACAUGUCAUUUGGAAUAGCAGUACUUUUUUUCUAAUUUAUUUAUUUUUGAUUUUUUUUUAAAUAUAAAGAUUUAGCUGGUUCCUUCACCAUGAUAAUCCAACCUUCUAGUGGUCGAAAAAACUCACAGCAUUACUUUAAUUUUUGAGUUUGGAGGUAAGUUAACAAAGGACAGAGUGAGUUACCUCAUUGGGAAGGAGAUACUCUUUGGAUCUCUUUCACCAAAGUUACCGGAUCAAGUGAUUUAGACUUUUAAAAUUUUAUCCAACGGCUCACUUGUUUUGAUCAUUUAAAAGCUAUAAUAAUUUUUAACCGUUAAAUAAAAUUUAAAAUGUUCGAAUCACUUGAUUUAAUGAUCUUGAUAGAAAAGAUCCGAAGAUGAUCUAUUUCCCCCUCAUUAGACCCAAUGAUCAAUUCCCGAGUCAGAGCCUACCAAUCACCUUGGAUCACAUUUAUUUCUUCAUUUAUUUUUUACGAAAGCACAUUUAUUUCUUCUUUUGCCUACCUCUUUCCUUACGCUUAGUUCUUGUCUAAAGAUAAGUCAAUAAGAAAACUAGUGGUUGAGUUGAGUGGAGGCAUGUUCUUCUCCUUAUUUAAUAGGACUUCGUUGCUGAAAUUUCAGCAAGAGAUCUUACUUACACUUAAUUUCAAGUGAACAUAUAUCUAAAUUUUGAUUUUUUUAAUUAAAAUUUGAACACGUAUUCUUUAGGGAUUGGAUGUAAGCUGAAAUUUCUGCUGAAAUGUUCAGCUGCGAAGUUACUUCCUUUUCUAAAUUGGAGGGCGGGGUAUUUGCUACGGGAUGGAUAGAUCGUCCAAAGACAUGAUUAAUUAAGUCCGAUAUGAUUUUGUGCCACUUUUGUAAUAUCAAAGCACAAAUAAGUUUAAUUAUUGCUAUUUGAUGCAGUACAGGAGCUAGAAAUUGCUGUCUUAAAAAAAUUAGACCAAAUAUAGUAAUAACUGUAGAAAAUUAAUUUUUUUUUGGAUAAUUUAAAAAGUUUAUAUAUACCUUAUCUUCGAAUUUGUUGCAAUGUCAUACAUUUCAUUACUUGUUUAUCAAUUUCUCUGUUAAAUGCUGAUGUAGCAUGAGAAGAGAUUCACUUUCUAUUAAAAAAAUUAAUAAAAAAUUAAAAAAUGAAAAAAAUAUUAACUAAAUAUUAAAAAAUUAAUUAAAAAAACAAAAAAAAAACGCCGAAACCUGGUUUCUUUGAAGUCAAAAGGAUCAAAAGCAAAUCCAUUGCUCUCUCUUUAUCUGUCAGGUUCGUCUUUGUACUCUCUCUUUUUAUUACUUUUCUGCUUUAUUUCUUUGAAUUUUGUAUUUUUGCUUCAUUUCUCGGACAUUAUGUUUGAUACAAGAAAACCCACCUCAGAAAGUUUGGUUCUUGGCAAGGGUUUUGCUGCUGCUGCUGCUACUUGAUUGUACAUACUCUCUCCUCUGUAUCUCUCUCUCUUCCAGAGGGUGUGUUUCUGUGAAAUGGGUGCUCAAGAUUUCUGGGUUUUCAUUUUUGUUAUUGGGUUUUGCUUACAAGCUCGGGUUUCGAGCUCUCAAAACCUGACAUGCAAUCCAAAUGAUUUGAAGGCAUUGGAGGAUUUCAUGAACGGUAUAGAUUCUGUGAUUGAUGCGUGGGGUAGCAAUUUCUCAUCUGAUUGCUGCAAAUGGGCAGGCAUCACUUGCAAUUCUUCUUCCUCUCUCGGAUUGAACGAUUCCAUUGAUACUUAUAGAGUGGUUAAGUUGGAGCUUCCAAAGAGAAGGCUAGUGGGAAAUCUCUCUGCAUCUUUAGGCACUUUGGACCAGCUUAGAACCCUCAAUCUCUCUCAAAAUUUCCUCAAACACUCGCUUCCAAUUUCGCUCUUCCAUUUGCCGAAUUUAGAGUUCUUAGACUUGAGCUCUAAUGAUUUUUCCGGCCCCAUUCCUUUCGAUAUCGAAUUGCCUUCAAUCCGGUUGCUUGAAAUUUCUCAAAACUUUUUGAAUGGUACCCUUCCGGCCAGCAUCUGUGACAAGUCUACUCAGCUUCGAGCACUGAAGUUGGCUGUGAACUACUUCUCUGGCAACCUCCCACCAGGUCUUGGCAAUUGUACUUCCGUGGAGGACCUCCGUCUAGGCAUGAAUAAUUUCAAUGGCGGUGUGCCCGAAGGUCUAUUUCGUCUGCGAAAGCUAACCCAGUUGAACAUUCAAGAUAACAAGCUUUCCGGGGUGCUCAGCGAAGAAUUCGGUAACCUCAUUAAUCUUGUUCAUUUGGAUAUCUCAACUAAUGAAUUUUCAGGAACCAUCCCAGAUGUUUUCCACAGGCUUGGAAGAUUACAGAAUCUUGUAUUCCAUUCAAAUCGUUUUGGUGGUCGGAUACCCCCUUUCUUGUCGAGUUCCUCGACCAUCUCUUUGCUUAAUUUGAGAAACAAUUCAUUGCAGGGCACAAUUGAUCUUAAUUGUUCAGCAAUGACUAGUUUGACCACUCUUGAUCUCGGUUCCAAUCAGUUUGAUGGGCCUAUUCCCUCCAAUCUUCCCUCUUGUCGACAUUUGAAUAAUGUCAAUCUUGCCCGUAACAACUUCACGGGCGAAAUACCAGAAAGCUUCAAGAGUUUCCAUAGCCUCUCUUACCUCUCGCUGUCAAAUUCCAGCGUUUCCAAUAUCUCUUCUGCCUUACAAAUUUUACAGCAAUGCCGGAACCUGACUACUUUGGUUCUCACCUUGAACUUCCGCGGCGAAGAAUUUCCUGCUGAUCCGACCCUUCAUUUUGAAAAGUUGAAGGUUCUUAUUAUUGCAAAUUGUAGGCUCACAGGUGUAAUACCUCAAUGGUUGAGUACUAGCAGCAGAUUGCAAUUUUUGGAUAUAUCGUGGAACCAAUUGCAAGGAACAAUUCCAGGCUGGUUUGGCAAUUUUAGCAGUCUUUUCUACUUGGACAUGUCGAAUAAUUCACUUACGGGUGAAAUCCCUAUAAGCUUAACUGGAUUACCGAGCCUCAAUAGUGGGAGGAUCUCCAUUGAGGAACCUUCCCCUGAUUUCCUUCUACUCAUGAAGAGGAAUGUAAGUGCACGAGCGUUGCAGUACAAUCAAGUGUGGCGAUUUCCACCGACGCUGGGACUAAGUAACAAUAAUCUUAGCGGACCAGUCUGGCCCGAGUUUGGGAAACUGAAAUUGCUUCAUGUUUUGGAUCUCAAGUUCAACAGUCUAGCAGGACCGAUUCCGAGUAGUUUAUCUGGCAUGUCCAACUUAGAGACUCUGGAUUUGUCUCAUAACAAGCUUUCGGGGACACUCCCGCCUUCGCUGGUCAAUCUCAACUUCUUGUCCAAGUUUAGCGUUGCAGACAAUCAGUUAUAUGGGGUGAUCCCUACAGGAGGUCAGUUUUCGACCUUCUCAAGUUCAAGCUUUGAAGGGAACAGUCUUUGCGGAUACGAUGCUUCCCCUUGUCCAGCAGGACUGGAUGCUCCUCUGCGAACAUGGUUCGGGAAAUCGAGCAAGGAUUAUACAGGAGUUAUUGCCGGAGUCGGUGUUGGAUUUGUAUUUGGAAUAGCAUGUUUCAUUGGAAUAGAUAGGUACGUCUGGACAUUUUAAGGAGAGUACAUCCUUCUUUUUAUUUUAUUUGUAUUUGGAAUAGCAUGUACAUUUACGCUCGUGGUCUAAUGUAUAGAGUCGUAGCUUAUGGUUGUGUGAGUGAGAGAAAUUCCAGCACCGACAUAUUCGUAUGCAUCGACACUCACACACGAAUGAUGGGAGGUGUCGCAUACGAACGUGUGUGCAAGAAUCUCUCCCAAGUGAUGAAGGUGGAUUCCUUUGAAUGUAACAAAAGAACAGCAUAUGAAAUGGAAGGGUUGCAAAUUAGAUAAUACUUGGCUCAGACCAUGCAUGAAGAGCUCCUUAGUUUACCCACUUACACAUGCCUAAAGACCAUGCCUGGAGAGCUCCAAAUUAUGGACAUAGAUCCUCUCCGGUUCUCACUAUUUAGAGUCCAAAGAGUAAGAAAUCCGGAUCACACAAGUUGAAUCUGACAGUUCUUAUUAACUCAAUACCCAUGCCCACUUCACACAAAUUACAGACCCUAGUCACUCUUUCUCUCUCUUGAACUAUCCAAAUUUUCUAGUCUCCCAAGGCUCCAAACAAUGAGAUGCAACGAUAAUCCAAAUUCACCACCACAAUCGAAUUAUGAGGCCCGAUCGUCGAACUAACUAACCGAUACGACCUACACACGGAAAAAGCCACCCCUAAUCGACGUUUGGGCUGGUUUAAGUCUCCCUCCAUUGCCCGAGCCAAAUGCAGGUCCUCACUUGUGCUUUCUUAGUUUCAAAAGGCCUUGGGCUAAUUACGACCUAGGAACUAUACAGCAAUUAAAGUAUUGGGCCCUUCUCCCAUUCCUUGCACAUUCAUGAUGCAUGUGAAAGCUACCAGUUUUUGUGGUGUUUCUGAGGGAGGUUAAUAAAGUGGCAGUUGAGCUUAUUCUUACUGAAUUUAAGACCUCCAAAGCACUCAAACUAGUAUAUAUAUGGAUCCCUAUUCUCAGAAAUCUCAAGCAAUUCUUUAAGAAAAUCAGUCAAUUUCCUCUGAUUACAUUCUUGUUCUAGCUAAAGCUACCACAUCUAUAUAUAUAAAAUGGCUUCAUGUGAUGGAAAGCUUGAAGUAGAAGUUGAGGUGAAGUCUCCUGCACAAAAGUUUUGGGAAGCCCUUAGGGACUCCACCGUCUUCCCCAGGGCAUUUCCUCAUGACUACAAAAGCAUCGAUUUCCUCGAAGG